This 363-nucleotide long non-coding RNA is filed under the name Lucilia cuprina (Australian sheep blowfly). RNAcentral describes it as "uncharacterized LOC124420032, transcript variant X2". Lineage: Eukaryota; Metazoa; Arthropoda; Insecta; Diptera; Calliphoridae. The record is from RNAcentral.
AACGGAUCGAACAUAACCAUAAGAACCAGUAUCUCGAUGAAAUAACUUUUAGAGAAGAAAUCGAAGAGCCUUAAUGUGAACACUUGUCGUGUUGGCCUUAUUUCACGAGUAGAAAUAUGUCUGCCGGUACAUGCAAUUUGCUCAAGUACUCAAGAUAUCUAAUCUCUGAUCAUUGCUACCCGGUUACAUAACUUUCGAGAUGCUAUAACAUUACUUCCGUUCCUCGAUACUUAAUUGGUAAACCGAAGGAAAAAUCAAAGAAGAAUGUAUUUUAUAUUUAUGCACAUUUCGUGCAACAUGUUGGUUGCUGCUUGCACUAUAAAUUAUUUGUAAAACUCAAUGAAAAAACAAACUUCAACUGCA